This 369-nucleotide ribosomal RNA is filed under the name uncultured Alphaproteobacteria bacterium. Its description in RNAcentral is "bacterial SSU rRNA". It matches the Rfam family "Bacterial small subunit ribosomal RNA", at positions 527 to 896 of the family's 1533-position model. The record is from RNAcentral. Lineage: Bacteria; Pseudomonadati; Pseudomonadota; Alphaproteobacteria.
GAAGGGGGCUAGCGUUGCUCGGAAUUACUGGGCGUAAAGGGCGCGUAGGCGGGUUGCUAAGUCAGGGGUGAAAUCCUGGAGCUUAACUCCAGAACUGCCUCUGAUACUGGUGACCUCGAGUCCGGRAGAGGUGAGUGGAACUCCGAGUGUAGAGGUGAAAUUCGUAGAUAUUCGGAAGAACACCAGUGGCGAAGGCGGCUCACUGGCCCGGUACUGACGCUGAGGCGCGAAAGCGUGGGGAGCAAACAGGAUUAGAUACCCUGGUAGUCCACGCCCUAAACGAUGGAGGCUAGCCGUUGGCGAGCUUGCUCGUCAGUGGCGCAGCUAACGCUUUAAGCCUCCCGCCUGGGGAGUACGGUCGCAAGAYUA